This is a long non-coding RNA of Aquila chrysaetos chrysaetos, 3684 nucleotides long. RefSeq lists it as uncharacterized. The transcript has 2 exons. NCBI's taxonomy places the organism in Eukaryota, Metazoa, Chordata, Aves, Accipitriformes, Accipitridae. The record is from RefSeq and is a predicted model, not a curated record.
GUCUGUUUUUGUUCAUGUAACAGGUAUUUUCAUAGGAUUAAAAAAAGUCUUGGGCAUUAGUGAACUAAAAAUUAAAUACAUAUUAAGAAAUACCAAUAGAAAUAAUGUGAUAUUUAUAUUAAGCUAAAACUUUACUAAAUCUUACAGUAUUAAUCUGCUUCUGUUCUGUCAUGUCUUGGACAGUUUUGAAAGCUCAUUGUUAAAACAGGACUACAAAGUGUAACAAGAAUUUGAGGGAAUGUCUGACGAUAGCGUAUGUUCUCAACUCCUGUGGAAAUGUUCUGACACUGCUGCUCAACAGUAAUGCUUUGAAAUAUCCUCAUGUGUAUGGGGUUAGUGAGAGCAAUGCUGCUAUUAGAUGGCACUUGCUGCACAGAAUAUGGCUGUGGAUGUGAAAAUAUUCCUGCUUUCAUUCAGUGCUACAGUGGAGUUCCUGUUUUUUUUGUUUUCUUACACUUUUUUAAAGAAGUGUGAAGGAAACUAACUGUAUUAACAAAUUGUACCCCAUCUCCCCUAAGAGCAGUACUUCUUCUCUGUAGUAAUAAUACUGAUAUUACUAGCUCAAUUCAUAUUUUAACACUGUAUGGAAUAAAAUGCAUGAGAGGUAACCAACUUUUGGACCUUCCAAAAGAAAGUAAAGAUAAAAACUUAAUUUGAGGAAAUUUCAGGGGAUUUCAGCUAUUCAAGUGGGAGCGUUUUGUCCUAAACUUUCCUACUUCAUCUUUUAAAAUGCUGCAGUAAGAUUUCUUUGUGAGAUAUUUGGCUAAUGAUGAGUCAGUCUGGGCGACCAAGUUCAAAGCAGUGAAAUUGAUGAUUUUUCACAGAAGGAAAUUAAUUUUUGAUUUCUCUUCUGGUACAGGUUAUGUGAGUACUUCUUGUUUGAAAGCAGAGCAAGUUGAAGUGGCCCUAGGACACUGUUAAGUGCCCUUGGGUCUCACACUGCAUUGUGCCCACACACUUGGGUGUCUGACAGCCUGAAUCAGGGAGCUGAACUAUCAUGUGACAUUAUGGCAUGCGUGGAGCUGCACAGAUGGCUGUGCCAGCACAGUGCAGCAGGUGGUCUGAGAACAGGAACUUCCUCAUGGGAUCUGUGCACUGUUGUCAAAUACAAGCCCACACUGAAAUUAGCCAAUAUAUAUUUACAGUUUUACUCUUUACCCCUUAUCUGACCAUGCUGUGUUUUUCUUAACUAAUGCAGACCAGUUAUUUGUUGAUGUGAAGUCAAGGUCAUUAGUAGCAGAGUACCUCUUGAAAUAAUGAAAUACAGCUGUGCCUUGUUUUACCACAAAUACUGUUUCUAUGUUUAUAAGUCAAGUCUCUUAUUAACUAUGCCUGAAAUAUGUUCAGUAUAACCAUCUUUUAAAGUAAACCAAAACCCGCUCUUCCUAAAACGUGCUAUGCCUUGUCCUCAUGAUUCUCCAUUCUAACUGUAUCUCCCUUAGUGUUUUAGAUUCUAAAACCUAAAGAUAAAAGAUUUUUUUUUUUUUAAUUAAUAUCACAGCCAGUUGUUCCAGUUUACAGAAGCUUGGUCAAAAGUAUGAAACCUGGUGCUACAGCAGAACAGAAUCAUCAAUGAGUUCAAUUCCUAAUUUUCAUUAUAUGAUAUUGGGCUUAUCAAAAACAGGUAUUAAACUAAACUGAGCUUUCCUUUUGUAGAUGAACCCUGUGCAAGACUGAGAUCACACAGUUCAGAGAAAUAUUGUCAUCCUCAUGGUUAUGUUUCUGCUUAAAUGUUCACCAACCUGUGCAGGUUCCAUCCGGUCCUGCAUUUUCAGUACCUUCCCAUCUAAGAAGAGGAGAACAUCCCUUGCAAAGCCUGUCUGAUUUUAGGAAAACAAGAAAGUGUGUGCCUUUAAUCUGUUCAGAAUAAUUGACACCCAGAACACUGGGAACCAGUUGGGAUCUUUCACAAGAGGAGUAAAAAGGGAAGGAAAAAGCUGGGCAGUUGACCACUCAGAUCUUCAGCCUGUGCCAAGAUGCAAGUUGUAAAAUACAGGAAUGUUCUGGAGCAACUCCUGGAGGUGAUGCAGAAAGCUGCAGCGUUGGCUGAGAACAUGUUCUAAUGCUGUUCUCACACAGCCAUGAUGAUACUUGAGUUUAUAGAGCCAUGGACUGAAGACAACUGAGAAUGCAGUAUAUUGUGAACUGGCUGCUGCUGGGCUCACCAGGAUUUUCUCACCCAGCAGAACACCUCAGGCAGGGAGUGCUUGAGAUUCAAUGUUGCUGUUGGUCUUGGCACUUAAAAAAUGAUGUAUUUUGAGUAAUGUGAUUGAAAGCUUUUUUUCCCAGAAAGCUGAUUGAUGCUUCAAAACAUAAUGUCCAUGAAAUACUACAGUGCUGUUUUCAAGGACUUGCCAAAGCAUUUUGAAAUAUCCUUGAAGCUAUAAUUCAUAUAUGAUUGUGCCAAAUGAAUAAUGGAAAUGUCAUUAUUAAAAAGAAACACUAAACAGGUGGCCAUAAUUUCUGUCAUGUUUAAUUCAGUGAUAACUAUAUUGGCUGGUCAUUGUGGGAACUAAUAUUCCUAUCUGUUGUGUAAAUGACUGGAUGGAGAUUUAGGAACCUAAAAUGAAAUUUCUAUUUUACAACGUGUUGGCAGUCGUCUCGGAUGUCAGAAUUCUGUAGCUAGGCCGGGCUAGUUGAGGUCUGCAUGGACUUAGAGCCAGAGGUAAAGCUACAUUAAAUCUGCUAUGGAGAUUGACCUGAAAGAAAUCAAUAAUGGAAAUCAGUCUGGCUAAGUCACAGCAGGUUAUGUCUCUGAGCUAUGGGAAGAAACCAUAGGGGAAACAAAAAGGAUUUUUUAUUUGUCUGAAGGUAAUGACAUCUUCAUGUGUAAUAAUCAAAGUAGAGCUUUGCAGUUACUAUUGGUACUUGCCUCAGAAAUAGCAGUUACAUCAGUUGCUGCCAGCUUCUGAUGCUUUUCUUCUGCUCCUGUUCCCCCCCCCCACACUUUGUUUUUAGUGAAAGUGUGCUGGUUAAAAUUUAAUCCUUUGCUUGUGAUUUCCUGAAGCCUGUUGUACCAUAUUAGUUAUAGGCAUUUUAUGUUUAAAGAGAUUCUGCACCGGUAGGUCUUUGGGAACCUGGGUUUGUUAAUUUUGUGUGUCAUUUUUUGAAUGGCUGGAAUAAAAGUACCCUGUGACUGGUUUUGAGAUAUGGAGUCAUCCACUGCUACUCUACCUUGUUACCAGAACUGCCCGUCAGGGUUGUCUUGUGUUGGAAAUGGAUCCUCUAGUCAGAAUGAAAUCAUUUUCACAACAGAAAGUGGCUGCACGUGGAGUCCUCCAGUAAUAUUGUGUUGUGUUACUGAUUACAUUAAUAAACCAUUUGGAAUGGGGGAGGAACAGUGUGGUAAUAAAUCUUGCUGCGGCUACUGAAUUAUUAGAAUUACAUGAAAAAAAUCUGUUAUCAAUUGCAGUGGAAUAAAAUGUCAAAUGGAAAGGAAUGCCUUUGGAACAAAGGGGUGGGAAACAACCAUUGUUAUGCAUUUAGCUUUUUACUUUAAAAUGGUUAUUGCUACUUGGGAAAGAGAUUGUGAAGCUACUGAGGAUAGCAAGAGGAUUAGGUGGAGGCUCAGCGUUGUCUGAAAGUGUAAUGUUUAUUAACUGUGAAGAGAAAAAAUCAGGGACUGUAUUUUGUGUAAACUCCUGCUCUGUUGGCAUCAUAAAGGCUCUGUUCUGGUCCUUCCUU